AACGAACGCUGGCGGCAUGCCUAGCACAUGCAAGUCGAACGAUGCCCUCGGGGCUAGUGCCUCACGGGUGCUUAACGCGUGGUAACCUGCCCUUAGGUUCGGUGUAAGGCCGCGGAGGGUGUGCUAAGACCGGGUAAUGUCUUCGGACCAAAGAUUUAUCGCCUUUGGAUGGGCCCUCGUUGGGUUAGCUAGUUGGUAGGGUAAAAGCCUACGAAGGCUACGAUCCAUAGCUGGUAUGAGAGGAUGAUCAGCCACACUGCGACUGAGACACGGCCCAGACUCUUACGGGAGGCAGCAGUGGGGACUAUUCGACAAUGCGCGAAAGCCUGAUCCAGCAAUGCCGUGUGAGUGAUGAAGGCCUGAGGGUUGUAAAGCUCUUUUAAACGGGCUGAUAAUGACAGUACCGGGCGAAUAAGCUACGGCUAACUCCGUG
RNAcentral lists this ribosomal RNA (433 nucleotides) under uncultured bacterium. Its description in RNAcentral is "partial 16S ribosomal RNA". It matches the Rfam family "Bacterial small subunit ribosomal RNA", at positions 29 to 507 of the family's 1533-position model. The record is from RNAcentral.